This 459-nucleotide ribosomal RNA is filed under the name Leucobacter komagatae. RNAcentral describes it as "bacterial SSU rRNA". It matches the Rfam family "Bacterial small subunit ribosomal RNA", at positions 37 to 508 of the family's 1533-position model. The record is from RNAcentral. Lineage: Bacteria; Bacillati; Actinomycetota; Actinomycetes; Micrococcales; Microbacteriaceae.
UGGCGGCGUGCUUAACACAUGCAAGUCGAACGAUGAAGCCCAGCUUGCUGGGUGGAAGAGUGGCGAACGGGUGAGUAACACGUGAGUAACCUGCCCUGAACUCUGGGAUAAGCACUGGAAACGGUGUCUAAUACUGGAUACGACCUAUCACCGCAUGGUGUGUGGGUGGAAAGAUUUAUCGGUUCUGGAUGGACUCGCGGCCUAUCAGCUAGAUGGUGAGGUAAUGGCUCACCAUGGCGACGACGGGUAGCCGGCCUGAGAGGGUGACCGGCCACACUGGGACUGAGACACGGCCCAGACUCCUACGGGAGGCAGCAGUGGGGAAUAUUGCACAAUGGGCGCAAGCCUGAUGCAGCAACGCCGCGUGAGGGAUGACGGCCUUCGGGUUGUAAACCUCUUUUAGUAGGGAAGAAGCGAAAGUGACGGUACCUGCAGAAAAAGCACCGGCUAACUACGUGC